Canis lupus familiaris (dog) is the source of this 1308-nucleotide long non-coding RNA. RefSeq lists it as uncharacterized. Lineage: Eukaryota; Metazoa; Chordata; Mammalia; Carnivora; Canidae. The record is from RefSeq and is a predicted model, not a curated record. The transcript has 3 exons.
CCACAUUUGAUUUCUGGGCCUUUGUCCCUUGGUGUAUUAGUCAUCUACUGCUGCAUAAUAAGUCACCCCAAAACUUGGCAGCUUAGCGUGGUUGACAUUUGUCAUGUCCCACCAUUUCCAAUGGUCAGGAGUAGUACAGGAGCAGGUUAGCUGGGUGGUUCUGGCUCUCAAGCUGCCCUCAGGCUGUCUGCUGGGGCGGGAUCUUCUGUUUCCCAGCUCACAACCUUAGUCAUGGGCAGGAGGCCUCCAUUCUAGUCUUUUAUAACGUAAUUUCAGAAGUGUUGUGCUAUCACGUCGGCCACAUGUCAUUGGUCACAGAAACCAACUCCAUUUGGGAGGGACAGCAUGGGUGAGCCUAGCAGGAGAUGGGCUCCUCAGGCCGUCUGGGAGGCAGAGAACAGCAUCUGACCCUACGGGGCACUUGGCGAUCAAGGAACAGGUCAGUGGGUGAGGGUUCUUGUUUUAGGCCCUUUUCAAUGGUGUGAUGAACAGAUGGACACACACAAGUAAUAACCACAAGCAAUGGUGUUUUAGCUUUGUCAACGGAGAUUUUUUCCACAGACACGUUGUGACCUGGUGCUCCAACUCCAGCACCAGCAAUGAAGAGCAGUGGCAUUUCUUACCACUAAUGAUCACUGUUUCUUGUUUCCUCAGCUUCCCUGGGAUCUGCUUCCCAAAGAUUUGGUUCACAGAGUACUUCAGUUCCACAAGGGUACGUUCCUAAAACAUCACUGAGUUCACCACCUUGGCCAGAAGUUGUCCUGCCAGACCCAGCUGAGGAGACCAGACACCAUGCAGGGGCCCUGAGACUCAGCACGGUGUGAAUGCUCAGGCUCGUUUUUGCCACUUGACACAGAUUCAAACCCUCGCGAGCACCAGCCACAGUCCAAGCAGGCAGUGUAAGCAAGGGAGGACCCCCGGCUCCACCUAUGUCCACGCUGUUGGUGGAAACACAGUGGCAGGAAAAGAUUUCUCCGCCAUCAGAAGAACCAUGUGCAUGGUGGUCAGUAGGUGUGGGUGCAGCCUGGGAGUUGGAGAAACUCGGGGUGUCAGGAUUCCUGUCGACCCAGAGCGUGUCCCGUGAGGAGGGACAAUGUGGCCGGCCACCGUUGCCACGAGGGAGCGCGGUGUCCUCUGCCUUACUAGGCUGGAAACGCAGGUCAGCGCGUGGCAUCUUCUGGUUUUAAAGUACCGUUGAGAUGUGGUGCCAGAUAAACAGUGCUCUGCCCUUUCUCCGGGCGCAGCUCGGGCCUGACUCUUUCCAGGGCAGGCACCGUGCACUCCUGUCCCAGCACCCAGCCUCAGGCC